GGACCCGCACAAGCGGUGGAGCAUGUGGUUUAAUUCGAUGCAACGCGAAAACCUUACCUACUCUUGACAUACUUGGGAGCUCUUGUAAUGAGAGUGUGCCUUUUGGAACCAAGAUACAGGUGCUGCAUGGCUGUCGUCAGCUCGUGUCGUGAGAUGUUCCGUUAAGUCGGAUAACGAGCGCAACCCUUACCCUUAUUUGCCAGCGAUUCGGUCGGGAACUAUAAGGGGACUGCCGGUGAUAAACCGGAGGAAGGUGAGGACGACGUCAAGUCAUCAUGGCCCUUACGAGUAGGGCUACACACGUGCUACAAUGGGGAAUACAGACGGACGCUAAGCCGCGAGGUAGGGUC
Molecule: ribosomal RNA, 350 nt
Filed under: uncultured bacterium
Lineage: Bacteria
Description: bacterial SSU rRNA
Rfam family: Bacterial small subunit ribosomal RNA
Source: RNAcentral